Molecule: long non-coding RNA, 366 nt
Filed under: Glycine max (soybean)
Lineage: Eukaryota; Viridiplantae; Streptophyta; Magnoliopsida; Fabales; Fabaceae
Description: long non-coding RNA (GMAX_LNC004642)
Source: RNAcentral
GUAACCCUAGCAGCAAAUGCAAGGUCCACAAUAAGCAAAGCAAUGAAAGCAGCCCCUAAGACCUUUGAGGUUGCCAUCAUUUAAUUCUUUCACAAACUCAAUAGUGAAGUAAAGUAAUAUUAUUAAAAAUGAGAAUAUACCAAUGGUUUGAGGAUUCAAGAGAUGGAUCACACACAAAACACUAACAGGAAACUAUUAUUGCACUGCGUGUAGUCUUGUUUGUACUUAGGUGUUGGUGCAAAAGUGCUAGGUAAGGGACCCUAUAUAUACACUUUGAAAAGGAUGAAGCUGAUUCUCUAGUAGCUUCCUUAACACCUAACCAGUUACUUUUAUGUCAUGAUUAGUUUGUAGGAACUUGUUGCGGAG